Sorghum bicolor (sorghum) is the source of this 277-nucleotide long non-coding RNA. RefSeq lists it as uncharacterized. The record is from RefSeq and is a predicted model, not a curated record. The transcript has 3 exons. Lineage: Eukaryota; Viridiplantae; Streptophyta; Magnoliopsida; Poales; Poaceae.
CCUCUUCCGUCCUAAGCUUUUUUUUCUAGGGUUUCCUCCCGGCGAAACCAUCUCGUCUCCUCCUCGGUCGUGCCUCGCCGGCCCCUCCCCCCGCGAGCAAGAAAUGGCAAGGCAAGCAGGGAACCCAGUAAACCACCAUAUAAGUCCCCAGAUGAUAGGUGGCGCUUUUGUUCGGCAAUAUUACCUCAUUCUACGUGAGCAACCAGACACUAUAGGAAACUCAUUCUACGUGAGCAACCAGACACUAUAGGAAACUCAGGCUUCGCCAAGUGCUCCA